GCGUUCGCGUUGUCCGCGCCUUCUGUUUUUCGAACCGGUGACGAACGCGUGCACUUUUCCCCUAGUAGGACGUCGCGAUCCGUUGGGUGUCGGUCUACGGCUCGCGGUGGAGUCCGUGUGCGAUCGUUUCGGCGAUUCGUGCUCGAACCCGCGAUGUUCCGGCCGACUCGCUCGACGAUAUACAGAUGGCGCGAGGCCGCUACGUUAAUUAGCGUCCGACCCACGGCAAGCGCGUUCGAUGCUAAGACGGCGAUCGGACCUAGUGCCGAUUCCGUUUCCGGACGACUGUUGGCCGUGUGGAUCUCUCGGACAGACCUCGUUCGAAACGCUGAUCUGCGACGCUAUAGCUUUGGGUACUUUCAGGACCCGUCUUGAAACACGG
Molecule: ribosomal RNA, 382 nt
Filed under: Callosobruchus maculatus (cowpea weevil)
Lineage: Eukaryota; Metazoa; Arthropoda; Insecta; Coleoptera; Chrysomelidae
Description: partial large subunit ribosomal RNA
Source: RNAcentral